RNAcentral lists this long non-coding RNA (217 nucleotides) under Elaeis guineensis (African oil palm). RNAcentral describes it as "long non-coding RNA (EGUI_LNC044902)". Lineage: Eukaryota; Viridiplantae; Streptophyta; Magnoliopsida; Arecales; Arecaceae. The record is from RNAcentral.
CUAAAAAACUAGGUCAUGUAUUCGACCAAGAACCCCUAGUGUUACCAAACUAUCCUACUGCUGAGCAAAGAACUGCUUAUAAAAAGUAGACGGAUGAAGAUAGUUGGAUCAAGUGCUAUAUGCUGGCAUAUAUGUCAAAUAAGUUACAGAGUCAGCAUGAGCAUAUGCCCAUUGUCAGAGCUAUGAUCACUCACUUACAAGAGUUGUAUGGUGAGUA